AUGGACUGGGCAGCGCACAGGGCGCACAUCCGCGCACAACUGGAGCGUGCCCAGCAGCGCUUCAAGAAGCAGGCCAACGGCAAUCGCAGGGAGCGCCAGUUCCAGGUGGGCGAGAAGGUGCUUCUGAAGCUGCAGCUCUAUGUUCAGCAAUCCGUCGUCAGCCGCCCCUGCGCCAAGCUCGCCUACAAGUUCUUCGGACCGUACACCGUCAUCGAGAAGAUCGGGCUCUUGGCGUACAAGCUCGACCUGCCAGCGUCCAGCCGUGUGCACCCGAUCUUCCAUGUUUCCCAACUGAAGCCAUUCACGCCAGACUACACACCGGUGUACGCGGAGCUGCCGCGGGUGCCAGACCUGUCCGUGGCGAGCACGGUACCAACGCGCAUCCUGGAGCGACGCAUGUUGAAAAGAGGCAACACGGCCAUCAUGCAGAUCAAGGUGCAACGGGGGAACAGCUCACCGCCGGCCACCAUCUGGAAAGACUGCGAGGUACUCCGGCAACGCUUUCCAGAAUGUCUCAUUUGGGAGGACGACGAAGCAAGCACUCAAGAGGAGGCUCACUCUCAAGGGGGAGGAUGUCACACCUGGCCACUAGCAAGCACUCAAGAGGAGGCUCACUCUCAAGGGGGAGGAUGUCACACCUGGCCACUUGUCCAGUGUGACGUGGCAUGGAUCAGGCCCUACCUGUAA
This 687-nucleotide ribosomal RNA is filed under the name Triticum aestivum (bread wheat). RNAcentral's name for it is "partial small subunit ribosomal RNA". Lineage: Eukaryota; Viridiplantae; Streptophyta; Magnoliopsida; Poales; Poaceae. The record is from RNAcentral.